This 352-nucleotide unclassified non-coding RNA is filed under the name soil metagenome. Its description in RNAcentral is "partial contains 5.8S ribosomal RNA, internal transcribed spacer 2, and large subunit ribosomal RNA". The stretch from base 1 to 120 matches the Rfam family "5.8S ribosomal RNA", at positions 35 to 154 of the family's 154-position model. The record is from RNAcentral.
GAUGAAGAACGCAGCGAAAUGCGAUAAGUAAUGUGAAUUGCAGAAUUCAGUGAAUCAUCGAAUCAUUGAACGCACAUUGCGCCCGCCAGUAUUCUGGCGGGCAUGCCUGUUCGAGCGUCAUUACAACCCUCAGGCCCCCGGGCCUGGCGUUGGGGAUCGGCGGAGCCCCCCGUGGGCACACGCCGUCCCCCAAAUACAGUGGCGGUCCCGCCGCAGCUUCCAUCGCGUAGUAGCUAACACCUCGCGACUGGAGAGCGGCGCGGCCACGCCGUAAAACACCCAACUCUUCUGAAGUUGACCUCGAAUCAGGUAGGAAUACCCGCUGAACUUAAGCAUAUCAAUAAGCGGAGGA